This 462-nucleotide ribosomal RNA is filed under the name uncultured bacterium. Its description in RNAcentral is "partial 16S ribosomal RNA". It matches the Rfam family "Bacterial small subunit ribosomal RNA", at positions 29 to 507 of the family's 1533-position model. The record is from RNAcentral.
AGUGAACGCUGGCGGCGUGCCUAAUACAUGCCAGUCGAACGGAGAUUAAGUAGCUUGCUAUUUAAUCUUAGUGGCGCACGGGUGAGUAAUAUAUAGCUAACUUGCCCAUUACUAAGGGACAACAGUUGGAAACGACUGCUAAUACCUUAUACUCCGUAUCUAUAUAAGUAGAUACGGGAAAGUUUUUCGGUAAUGGAUAGGGCUAUAUCGUAUCAGCUAGUUGGUAAGGUAAUGGCUUACCAAGGCUAUGACGCGUAACUGGUCUGAGAGGAUGAUCAGUCACACUGGAACUGAGACACGGUCCAGACUCCUACGGGAGGCAGCAGUAGGGAAUAUUGCUCAAUGGGGGAAACCCUGAAGCAGCAACGCCGCGUGGAGGAUGACACUUUUCGGAGCGUAAACUCCUUUUCUUGGGAAAGAAUUAUGACGGUACCCAAGGAAUAAGCACCGGCUAACUCCGUG